AGAAAAAUGUCCGAUUUAGGUGAAGGGUUGAAAACUCUUUUAUGGAUUUUCCUUUUUCUA
This 60-nucleotide transfer RNA is filed under the name Neomysis japonica. Its description in RNAcentral is "tRNA-Phe". The record is from RNAcentral. Lineage: Eukaryota; Metazoa; Arthropoda; Malacostraca; Mysida; Mysidae.